Molecule: non-coding RNA, 2018 nt
Organism: Camellia sinensis
Lineage: Eukaryota; Viridiplantae; Streptophyta; Magnoliopsida; Ericales; Theaceae
Source: RefSeq, a predicted model, not a curated record
AAAUAGUAUGGAGAUCAUCCACUUGAAUUUCAUUAUUGAUGUUCUUAUCUUCAAUUUUCCUUUUUUUUACCAUGUGAGUGAGAGAGAGAGAGAGUAUUGGGACAUGGUCAAGCUCAAGCAUCCUGGAAGUUUGCAAGGGCCGGGUUUGGACACAACAAAAGGUCAGAGGUGAAGUUUUGUUGCACCUCAAAGAAGUGAAUAAAUUUUCUUCUAGAGUAUUGGGACAUGGUCGAUUUUCCUUGGAUGACCACUCGGUAUUCAUCAUAAUACUCUUCUAGAGUUCCUCAAAUCAAUGGCUGGCCACAUAAAAACCAAGUUAAAUCCUAAAGCUGUUCCAAAAUAUAUAACAUCCCAUUUGUAUACAUUAUCAGGUCGAGAUAGGUAUGACCCCAAAAAAAGCCAGAACUGAAAACCACAAAAUCAUUAGUAGAAACAGCCAUGUCAAUGUUUAAUUUCUUCUGCAGGUAUGCUAAUCUUGUUGGGAUGAGAUAACUAAACUGCCUCCAUGAUCCUACUAAUCUCCUCCACCCAAAGAAUCCACUACAUGUUGAACCUGGGACAAGUGCUUAUUCCCUCUAAGGUGAGAAACCAUAUGAACCUCACCAGGGCACUUAACAUUACAGAUAACGCACCAUAAUUUAGACUUAUCCACCCCAUACCCAGUAGUGUUCUUUACUUCUUUCUGUUUGCAUUGCUCACUAGUCCGGUUCACUUGUAUCAUGUCCUCUUGUUUCUUACUUUUAUUUUGGUUUAUCCAAUCACCAGAAAUGGGCUUUGGGGGCUCCUGAUUGGCUGUUGAAGACAAGCAGCCCUUGUGCUUGCUUGAUUGCUUUCAGCUCUGGACACUGGGAUAUGUGUUUCCGCCCAUAAAAAUGACUUCAAUUUUUCUUCACAUGUGGUCGUCACCUGACAAACAGCACACAUCCACUCUUUCUGAACAUUCUCCGAAGCGGGUCUCUCCUGGACUUUGAUCUCUCCACCACCAGCUGCAACAACAGGCUUACUGAGUAUGGCAUACCUUUCUGUCAAUGAGUUUCUCCAAAGCUUCAGAUUCGUUCUCUUUAACAUACAUCUCUGCCAUGGCUAGAAAGUUUUCUGCAUUGAGAGCUCUGCGCACGUAGCCCUGUGUUUUCUCCCAUAAAGAUGAGACAUCAAGCUUGCCUCACACGUGGUUGUCACCUGACAUAUGGCACAGGUCCACUCUUUCUGAACGUUCUCCAAAGCAGGUUUCUCCACAUCUUUGUUCUCCCCGCCACCAGAUGUUGCAGCAGUGACAUGCAGCACAGGUCCACUCUCUCUGAACAUACUCUGAAGCAGGUAUCUCCGUGACUUUGUUCUCUCCACCACCAGCUGCCACUGCAGCACAGGUCCACUCUCUCUGAACAUCCUCUGAAGCAGGUAUCUCCAUGAAUUUGUUCUCUCCACCACCAGCUGCCGCUGCAGCACAGGUCCACUCUCUCUGAACAUUCUCUGAAGCAGGUACCUCCGUGACUUUGUUCUCUCCACCACCAGCUGCCGCUGCAGAAGGUAAUAUACAUGCUCUACAGUCCGAAGCACACCCACACACUCUGCACUUCGACGAACAAUGACGAAGGGUGAGACGCGAAGAGCACCGCGGAGAAGGCCUAGAAGACGAAGGCCACCGCGAGAGCUGCAGCAAGAAGGAAGAAGAGAAAUACCUUAAAUUUUGGUGAUGUAUUUUUUACAUACGAAUGGUACUUUUUCUGUUUUUUGCUAUGUAAUAUAACUUGUAUGUAAUUUGGUGUCUGAUUACGAACAGGAACUUAUGUAAUGUAAAUAUUGGGUUAGAGUUGAUGUUAUUGUGAUUCAAUUGGUUUCGCUUAUUUCAUAAGACUGAUGUUGUACAAUGAAUAAAUGAAUGGAAAGGUUAUUUGUUUUAUUCAAUUGGUAGUGUAUUUUUUGUAAGAAUGAGAACGUUAUUUGUUAUAUUCAAUGAAUAAUGGUUACAUUUUUGGAUUGUCACGAUUGAGAAGAUGAACAAGUUAAGAGAAUGUGUA